CCUGCUUGAGAAUUUAGGGAAAAUUACAUAUUACCUUUAGAGCUUUCAGUUCAUGAAGUAAUUGACCUCGUUUUUGCUUGUUUAUUCUGUAGUAUUGUUAUAUGAAGUGAGAGUUGCAUGUGCUUAUCUGAAGCUUAUACUAAUAAUGUGCCUCCCUAUUUGUGGCUGAUCUGGAGCUCAUACCCAUGUUGGGAAUUUGUAGCAGGUCUGAUCCCUUGCGCGUGCUCCUCCGCUUGCCCUCUCGACCCUCCCCUUGCUCAUCGCCAUCCAUUUUAUUCAGAGUGUAGAUGGCGGGCAAAACACCUAAGCUCCAAAGCAAGGAUGAAAAGCACUCCAUACACACUCACAAGGAUGAUGAUCCAUCUGUUUCUAGGAUGGUGGGACUUGAGGUCAAACUGCACAGCAAGCCCAUUUGGGGAAUGUAUUUGAACAAUGACCCAAGCAGUCGCACAAGUGGAUCUGCACAUAUUAUUAUCAAGAUCUUGCAUGUGAUUAACCGGGCGGGAGGAGAUGGAAGAAGGGCUUGGCCACUUGGAUCGUGAGAUGACUAUUCGGUUGACCAUUUGUGCUAUCUAUUCAAUGUCAUGCAUCAUAGAAACAAAGAUUAGUUUGGUUGUUGUGGAUUUUGCAGCAAAACAGAGUAGGUCAUGGUG
Molecule: long non-coding RNA, 653 nt
Organism: Triticum aestivum (bread wheat)
Lineage: Eukaryota; Viridiplantae; Streptophyta; Magnoliopsida; Poales; Poaceae
Exons: 5
Source: RefSeq, a predicted model, not a curated record